AGCAACAAGAAGAAAAAGGUGUGGAGAGAGGAGAAAGAACGUUUAUUGAAGAUGACCUUAGAAGAGAGACGCAAAGAAUACCUAAGAGACUAUAUUCCCCUGAACAGCAUUCUAUCAUGGAAGGAGGAGAUGAAGGGCAAGGGCCAAAAUGAUGAAGAAAAUACUCAGGAAACAUCCCAGGUGAAGAAAAGUUUGACUGAAAAAGUUUCUCUCUAUAGAGGUGACAUCACAUUGCUAGAGGUAGAUGCUAUAGUCAAUGCCGCAAAUGCCAGUCUUCUUGGAGGAGGAGGUGUGGAUGGCUGUAUUCAUAGAGCAGCCGGCCCCUGUUUGCUAGCUGAAUGUCGUAACCUGAAUGGCUGUGAUACUGGACAUGCAAAAAUCACAUGUGGCUAUGACCUGCCUGCAAAAUGUGAGUACAACUGAAUACUGUUUCAAAACCAGAUGAGACAUCUUAACUUGUUUUACUCCAGUGUAUAACUGGAAAAGGAAAUGGCAGUGGUGGUAUUUAAUUAAAUGUGCUUGAGUUGAG
Molecule: small RNA, 529 nt
Filed under: Pan troglodytes (chimpanzee)
Lineage: Eukaryota; Metazoa; Chordata; Mammalia; Primates; Hominidae
Description: processed transcript
Source: RNAcentral